UUGUAAAGACCAAAAUGCAAAUAAAAAUAUGAAACUUCUAAUUUGAAGUUUUGAGUAGUGAAACUUCAAAUAUAGAGUUUCACUCUUUUGAAUUCAUUUUUGGAUAGCAAAAGAUUUUAUAUUUAAAGUUAUAAAGUGUCUUUGGGAGAUGUUCUAACGUGAACUAUCGUGAACACAAUAUGUGUAAAUUAUUAGUUGGUCUUUCAUCUAUAUCCUUCAUUGUCUCUCAUUUAUUUUUAUUUUAUUUUUUUAACGCUGAUUUAUUAUGAUCUUAUAAUUAUGAUAUGAGAAAGAUUAAAUUGAUGAUUUGACAACCGACAAUACUAUCUGCCUUACGAAGAUCUACGCAUAACUGCAUCACAUGACCCUAUAUAUUCUCCAACUUCUUUUUUUUUUAAUUCCAUUUUCCAUUAAUUUGUUUUAACAUUACGAUAGGUCAAGUUCUGUAUUAAUAUUUUAAAUAUCUAUCUACUUAUCUAUUCAUAUAUUUAGACCAAUCGGUCAAAAGAUCCAAUGGAUUCACAGCAUUUGUUAGUAGAUCUUUGAUCUUGAUAAUAACAGGUUCUAUAUUGAAUUAGAACCGGCCAAACUCCGUACAAUAAAAACUAUCAAUAUUAGUUAAUUAAUUACUUCAUUAACUGAUAAUGAUUAUAAUCCCUU
This 660-nucleotide long non-coding RNA is filed under the name Brassica rapa (field mustard). RNAcentral's name for it is "long non-coding RNA (BRAP_LNC001558)". The record is from RNAcentral. Lineage: Eukaryota; Viridiplantae; Streptophyta; Magnoliopsida; Brassicales; Brassicaceae.